CAGUGACAUCUUGUUGCUGCUGGAGCUUUGAAGGAGACAAAGAGGGCUUUAUUUCAGCUCCAAGCCAAAUACUUGAGAGAAAAAUAUCAUCCCCGCUGUUUUCCCGUACUGCAGGAAAAGCAGAGGCAGGGAGAACUACAGGCCACAUACUAUAUGGAAAUAAAUACUAGUUAUAUGUGGACACCUUUGCUGAAGUUGCUAAGGAGCAGAGCUAGCAAUUUCCUUCUCAAAAUCCAGAUAUAUCAAACAACAUAA
This 255-nucleotide long non-coding RNA is filed under the name Falco tinnunculus (common kestrel). Its description in RNAcentral is "lncRNA (ENSFTIG00000006838.1)". The record is from RNAcentral. Lineage: Eukaryota; Metazoa; Chordata; Aves; Falconiformes; Falconidae.